CGUGUCGUGAGAUGUUGGGUUAAGUCCCGCAACGAGCGCAACCCCUGUGGUUAGUUGCCAGCAAGUAGCGUUGGGCACUCUAGCCAGACUGCCGGUGAUAAAUCGGAGGAAGGUGGGGACGACGUCAAAUCAUCAUGCCCUUUAUGUCCUGGGCUACACACGUACUACAAUGGCCGUUACAACGGGAAGCGAAGGAGCAAUCCGGAGCAAAUCCCUUAAAGGCGGUCCCAGUUCAGAUUGUGGGCUGAAACUCGCCCACAUGAAGGCGGAAUUGCUAGUAAUUGCAGAUCAGCAUGCUGCCAGUCGAAUACGUUCCCGGGCCUU
RNAcentral lists this ribosomal RNA (324 nucleotides) under uncultured Oscillospiraceae bacterium. RNAcentral describes it as "bacterial SSU rRNA". It matches the Rfam family "Bacterial small subunit ribosomal RNA", at positions 1061 to 1382 of the family's 1533-position model. The record is from RNAcentral. Lineage: Bacteria; Bacillati; Bacillota; Clostridia; Eubacteriales; Oscillospiraceae.